AAAAAGUUUUAUUCUAGCUUAAAGGUUAAGUAAUUUAAUGUUUUUAUAUGCAAUUUUUUAUCAGAGCUUAAUUUAAAUAGUUAAGUUGUUAUAGAGCAGUAUCUAAUUUUAAUAAUUAAAGAGAUUUAGAAUUAGGAAUUAAAUUUAACAUUGGUUAAACUUAUGCCAGCCGCCGCGGUUAGAUAAGUGAUGUGACUUAGUUUUUUCAGUAUUAAUUAAUUUAAAUAAUAAUAAAAUUUAAAAUUGUAUUUAUUAGGUGAAAUUUUAAAUAUAAAUGAAAUUUAUGUAUUGUUUUUAAGGUUGAAAAAUUUAGUAUUAAACUAGGAUUAGAUACCCUAUUAUUAUAAAUGUAACUUAAAAAGUACUAAAUGAUUAAUAGUUAUGAUCUUUAAAAUUAAAGGAUUUGGCGGUAUUUUAGUCUAUUCAGAGGAACCUGUUCUAUAAUUGAUAAUCCACGAUUUAUAGGACUUAUUUUAAUUAGUUUGUAUAUCGUCGUAGUUAGAAUAUUUUAGGAGAAUUAAAAUAUUCAAGAUUUUUUUAAGAAAGGAAAUCAGAUCAAGAUGCAGCUUAUAGAUAAGGAGAAAUGGGUUACUAUAUUUAAAAAUUAUUGGAAUAGUAAUUUAAAAUUAUUAUGAAAUUGGAUUUGACAGUAAUUUUAAUUAAUUUAUUAAAAUGAUUUAGCUCUAAAAUAUGUACAUAUCGCCCGUCGCUUUCACUUUAAAGUGAAAUAAGUCGUAACAAAGUAGGCUUACUGGAAAGUGUGCCUGGAAAGAC
Molecule: non-coding RNA, 774 nt
Filed under: Cucujoidea sp. 41 KM-2017
Lineage: Eukaryota; Metazoa; Arthropoda; Insecta; Coleoptera
Source: RNAcentral